This 3434-nucleotide long non-coding RNA is filed under the name Sus scrofa (pig). RNAcentral describes it as "lncRNA (ENSSSCG00025057988.1)". The record is from RNAcentral. Lineage: Eukaryota; Metazoa; Chordata; Mammalia; Artiodactyla; Suidae.
UUUUUUUUCUUUCUUUUUUUGUCUUUUUAGGGCCACAUCUGCAGCCUAUGGAAGCUCUCAGGCUAGAUUUGGAGCUAUAGCUGCCAGGCUAUGCCACCCAGGCACAGCCACAGAGGAUUUGAGCUGCACUGGCAACCUACACUACAGCUCACAGCAAUGCCAGAUCUUUAACCCCCUGAGCGAGCCCAGGGAUCAAACCCACCUCCUCAUGGAUACUAUUUGGGUUUGUUACCACUGAUCCACGACAGGAACUCCUAUCCUGGGAACUUUCAUGUGACAUGGAUGAGGCCCUAAAAAAGAAAAACAAAAUUAAAAAUUAAGGAAAAAAGAACACAAACACCCAUCCAACUAUAUGCUGUUUUUAAUAAAAUUACAUUAACAGUAAAGAAAUUAAGACUCAGAGAUGAAAAGAUAUCCCACGUCAUCAUUAAAAAACAGCUGGAACAUCGAUAUUACUCUCAGACAAAGCACUGGGAUAAAGAAUGGCAUUACAUAUUUAUAAAGGGGUCAAGUCUCUAAGGAGACACAGCUAUCUUUAGGGUUAUGUGCACAGCAAUAGAAUGGCAAAGUACACCAGGAAAAAACAGAUGGAACUGCAAGGAGAAACUGAUGAAUCCACAAAUGUAAGGCAGAACCUUCAACUUGCCUCUAUUAAUAAUUACAAGAACCAGGGAGUUCCCGUUGUGGCGCAGUGGUUAACCAAUCUGACUAGGAACCAUGAGGUGGUGGGUUCGAUCCCUGGCCUCGCUCAUGGGUUAAGGGUCUGUUGUUGACACAGCUACAGCUUAGGUGGAGACUCAGGCUUGGAUCUGAUCCCUAGCCUGGGAGCUCCAUAUGCAUCGGGGUGGCCAAAAAUGAAAACAAAAAAACCCAAAAAAACCGGAGUGAUAUGAAAGGAUAUAUUCACAGAACAGAAACAGACUCAAAAAUUUCAAAACCAAACUUAAGGUUACCAAAGGGGAAACAGUGGGAGGAGGGAUAAGUUAGGGGUUGGAAUCAAAAUACAAACACCACUAUGUAUACAAUAUAUAAGUAACAAAGACCUACUAGAUAGCACAAUGAAAUCUACUCAAUACUCUGUAAUAACCUAUAAGGGAAAACAAUGAAAUCUACUCAAUACUCUGUAAUAACCUAUAAGGGAAAACAAUCUGAAAAAGAAUGGAUAUAUGUAUAGGUUUAACUGAUUCACUCUGCUGUACUCCUAAAACUAAAACAUUGUAAUUCAAUAAUACUCUAAUGAAAAAAAUUUAAAAUAGCUCAAUUAUGAAAAAUCUUACACACUCAAAAAAAAAUUGUAUCACAGGAAGUUCCCUUGUGGCUCAGGAGGUUAAGGAUCUGGCGUGGUCACAGCUGUGGAGUAGGUUCCAACCGUGGCAUGGACUCCACCCCUUGUCCAGGAACUUCCACAUACUACGGGUACGGCAAAAAAGACAGAAAGAAAAGAAAGGAAGGAAGGAUAUCACACACUACCAAGGGAAAAUAGAGUUAAGAGUUGCAAUAUUCAAUAUAUAAACAUUUACAUGGCAAGAAAUAGAAAUAUUUGAAUCAGGUAGGACAAGCAACUGCUUCCCCAUAUUCCGGAAGAAAACCCACAUUCCCAAGCUCGAGGUCCAGACUUCCCUUGUUGGGGUGCAACCCCUCGAGUGGGGCAGUCCCUGGUGUGGAAGGGUUGUGGGACACCUGAGCAGUGUCAGGAACAAACUCUGGUAACUUCACACACCCUCUCUCUUUUCUCAAGACAUAAUGGAAAUACUCCUCCUCUGAGGCUUCAUUUCUCACAAGUAAAGAAACUCCUGGCCAGACUGAAUUUCAGACUGUGACUCAAAUGAACCCCCCAAUUCCUAAACACUUUGUCCAGAAGACAAAUCUCCUGACUUCACAGACUUCCUCUACAUACACAAGUUACUACACGUGCACCCACACCGUGGAUGCCAAAGUCAAGCCUAUGUCUAGAAACAGGCCCCAGGAAAACACAAUUAGAACCUCACAAAAGGCAUCACUCCCCAGCCUCCGACAAGCCCCUCCUGCCACGUACAGCAGACCCCUGGCUUCCUAGGUCUGUAGCUUCUCUCAGGUAAAAAGGUUUCUUCCAUAGCAGGUGUUUGCACUCGCAGGCAGAGAGGCUCCGCAGAAGAAUCAACUAGGCUUUCAAGUACUUCCCUUGCAGGGUCAGGUUACCUUAGAGACACUGACUUCAGGUCUCUGCUUCCCAGCUAGUUGCCCUGGACCAGCAUUAAUACCUUAAAUACACACACCCGGUAUUCGAACAAUCCACUAAAAAUCACCAAAACCCAGUAUUUGGGUAUAAAAGACGAACGAAAACUGCAAGGCAUUUUGUCAAUUUAGCAACAACCCCCGCUCCCGCAAUAUCCAUUCAUUUCAGAAAAUAAAUGUCAGUUGAUUAUUAUUUUCGUGGCAAGAAACUGGAAAACAACUGUAAUCCAACACACUUCUGGAUAUGGAAGCAUAGCUCUGAUAUUGCAUUUGAAAUCACCCAAAAGAGAAAAACAGAUCUUUAACUACACUCAAUCAUGGGGUGAAAGAAAAAAAAAAGAAACCUAAAAUUUUUAAAAUGGAAUGUAAUUUUCCAAUCUAUUGAUUAAAUACAUUUUAUAUUUACCUGAAAAAAGGAGACUUAAAAAAGAGAACCAAAUCACAAACUCAGGGACAGGCAGGGCUACCUGGAACUGUGAUGAAAAGACAAACCACCCAGCAGUUUCCAAAAAGGAAUCUCUACCCAAAGGACUCCAACAGGAUGGCUGUGCCCAGGAAAGAUUCUGGGGGUGGGGCUUCUAUACAAGGUAGUUCCAGGUGAUUAGUACCUGAUUUCUUCUCCUGGAAAUUAUCCGCAGGCAAAAAACAAAUCUUAAAAAGAGCCAUCCAUAGCUCAGUGCAGAAAUGAUAAGCAAAAUAGUUUUUGGGUUUUUUUUGGGGGGGGGCGGGGACUUUUCAGGGCAGCAGUGCUGCAUACGGAAGUUCCCAGGCUAGGGGUGAACUGGAACUGUAAAUGCAGGCCUAAGAGGUAGCCACGGAGCUCCGAGUAAAGGAAUUAAUAAGGAAAAGCUAUGAAUAGGAAAGGGAAGAUCUGGAAACUUCAAGACAUUUCUUGCCAGCCCUAGGAGGAACUAGUCUGGGGGCGGGAAGGUCGUGGACUUGAGGCCCUGCUCCUCAAACUUGAAAAAGUGAAGGGCAAACGGGUCUCCCGGGAAGAAGGAAGGGACAGGGGACCCCAGAGACCACAGCUCCUCCACGCACCAACCUCGGAGACCGAGUUUCCGCUGCCCCAGUGACCUUUUGCGGUCACAGCACAACUUAGAGCAAAAACCGCCGCUCCCCGACUGCUGGCCCAGCCCCGACGCUGCGCCCCGCCUCCGCAGACGAGGGAUCCAGGUCCGCCGCGGGGAGGCCAGGGUGUGCUCAUGGCCGAUACUGGG